ACAUGCUGAGAACACCGGCGUCUAGUUGCUCUGAGGUUUGUUCAAGAUCGACAAACAAUCACAUGUUUUUGAGCUAACUUUAAAUUAAUGCUUGUUCGUGAGGGAGUCAUUAGCUAGUCAUAACCCGCAGUCUCCGCUGUUAUAACUGACCGGGCAGAAAUAGUCAACGUCAAUCCAAGGAGGCAAAAAGGACAGUUUCUGAGUUUAAUUCAAUAAAAGAAAAUCAGCGAAAGGAGAUUUGAAAAUAAAGAGAAGAACUGUGCUGGUAUGUCAUAUGAAGAGCUGAAUGAUGACCUUUAGCACAAUGGGCAGGAGGCCCAAACUAAGAGGUUGGAUGAACUUUUCCCCCAUCUGCAGCCGUCAGUGGUAAAGGACCAUGCCUCAGGACUACCUGGUCUGAUGACUCCUUGUUUCCCCCAGUCCACCUGGCCAUGCUGCU
Salmo salar (Atlantic salmon) is the source of this 439-nucleotide long non-coding RNA. RefSeq lists it as uncharacterized. The record is from RefSeq and is a predicted model, not a curated record. NCBI's taxonomy places the organism in Eukaryota, Metazoa, Chordata, Actinopteri, Salmoniformes, Salmonidae.